GCUAAUUAAUAUUUUUAAUAAUACUUCUAUAUGGAUAGAUUUUUAGUUAAUUAGGCUAGUUUUAAGCAAAACUAGUUGUAAAGACCCAAGUUUCAAGCUCAUAAUUUCUAGGCUCGUACCCCUAACCUAAUCCCUACCCCUAUAUAAUAGUAUCUAAUGCUAAAAUAAACCUACGCCUAAAUCCCCAUCUGACCACAAAUGAGCAUCAGCGAAAAUAAUACAAAGAAAAGGCUAAGGAGGCAGCGCCGUCUACUCUGGAAAAAGCUAAAAAAAACGGCUGAACCUUUGAUUCUCGAACCUAACGCCUCUGACCCAUUUUCCAUAUUUGGUGCCUUUUCUUUUCUUCUUCUUUGAAUACACAACAUACACAUAGAUACAGUAGAGGUUGAAAAACAGAGAAAACAAAUAAAAUUCCAUGUAAAUCAAAACCAAAAAAACACAUAUAGAGAUCUUGUUUUUUCUUCUCGAUUUUGGACUUUGGCUCUUAAAGAAUGGAUUUCAGUCUGAGUUAGGGUGUUGUUCGAGCUUUGCUCUUGAUUCGUGGAUCCUGACUGCGAAUUCAGUUGCGGAUCGCUGACUCGCUGUUCCGAUUUUUGUUCGUGUUGCCGGAUCUGCUUGUAGCUUUUGGAUCUUUCACUAAUUUAAUGAAGCUCAUCUGAGGUUUAUUCUUCACCAUCCUUCCACUAUUUUUGUCUUUUGUGUGGUACAAUAGUAAAAUGUGCUAUUAAAUCCAUGAAGCUAUUUUUAGUUGUUGGGAUUAAUGUUAAGUUUAUUCUUUGGCUCCUUUAUUUCUCUUCCGCUUUUCUUAUACUCUAAUUAUGUUGAGCUAUGUUAUCCGAAUUGUCAUCUAGUGUUUAAUUUUCUUUUUAAAAUGCUUUUCAUGAGUAGUUUAAAUUCUUAUAAUUUUAAGUAAGAGACUUUGUUGUUAAAGUUUUUUUUUUUAAGUUUAGAUUUUCUUUAAUAAGCACCCCCUUCAUCUUUUUCUUAAAAGUGUCCAGAACAUAUGAAAGGUUUUUGUUCUCUUAUGUGAAAGAAUUUUUCAAUUAAUAAAGCUUCUAAAGUCUAAGAAUACAAGGUCCGUUGCAUCAAAGCAAAUGCAUACUUCCCCAUCUGUCUCGAGCUUUAUGUACUACUACUAGUAUUUUAUCAUUUACUUUUUGCGGGUCUGUAGAGUCAUAAUGGUCUCCUAUUGUUAGAAAGUGGAUUGAAAUAAAAAUCAAAACUUCAAUGUUUGUUACUUUAUUAACUUGAAGUGCGUAGUUGCUUUAGGCGCACUAUUUAAAAAUUAAUUUCCUUAAACUCGGGUGUGCAUUUUAUGUGACCCAAAUCCAAAUCUCAACAACGUUAGAUAAAAUAUGUCGAGGAUCGCGGGUGCAUGUAAGUGACGUGGUUCAAGACGUGUUUUAAUAACGUUGAAAUCUUCCUUAAAAAAUAAUUCAAUAAAAGCGGCUCAAAAGUUUAAAUUGAACCAUAGGCUAAAACCUGUACUAAAUCAGAUAAUAGUCCAAUUCUAACAGUUGAGCGACCGUGCUAGAACCACGAAACUCGGGAAUGCCUAACACCUUCUCCCGGGUUAACAGAAUUCCUUACCCGGAUUUCUGUGUUCGCGGACUGUAAUACAUGGUCAAUCUUUUCCUUGAUCGGGCUUUGAACCGGUGACUUGGGACACCAUAAAAUUAUCCCAAGUUGCGACUCUGAUUUUUUUAAAUAAAAUGAUCUCGUUUCGAUUGUCACUAAGUUGGAAAAAAACUCCUUUAUACCCCUUCCCGGAGGUGUAGUGAAAAGGAGGUGUGACAGCUGUGGCGACUCUUCUAGGGACCAAAACCCAGAACUUUGGUUCAGGGUUUAAGAAUUCGAGUUUAGAAUAGCUGUUAUGAUUGACUUUAUUUAUUAUCUGAUUUUUGUACAUGUUUGGGGUAGGUUUUAUAUUUUAUGAAAAUAAACCGAAAAAAUACCGAACCGUAUCGAAUAAAUUUACAAUGUGAAUAAUAUAUUUAUAUAUUAAGUUUAAAAUUAAUAAAGCAUUAAAUUUUUCUUGGGCCUUUGAAUUAUGAAACAGUUACAAGCCAACACGUAAUUAAACUUAAAAUCCUCCAAACCUAUUUUGAUACUCCUAUUGAAACUAAAUUAUUUCUAGCAUGUUUAUUAGCAAGACACAAGAUAUUGUAUUGAGUAUGAGUAGCAAUCUAUAAUGUAUCAAACAUGUUUCCUUUCGUAUGAUUUUCAUCUAUCUUCUUGAAUAUUUAAUCUUCUAUAAACUUUAUUCUUGAAUCCCAACUUAGCUAAUAUUUUUUCACUUGUGUGAUUUAUAUUAUUUUUGUAUUUGCGUAGUUUCUUUUAUGAUGAUGUAGAAUAGUUGAUUGAUCUAUACUCUAGUCAGCUUUCAUAUUUUCUUAAUUCAUCACCUUUUAAACUGUAAAAAUAUCUAGAGAGUUUUGUUAAGUCCUAAAAAAGUAUGUAUGUUAUUGCAUUCUACUUCCACUAGUGACUUUUACAUGACAUUAAAAAAAUUACCCAAAAUUUACCGAACCGUAUCGAUACUGAAGAGAAACCGACAUGAUUAGGACGGUUUCGAAAAGUCCAAUUUUGAUUAUACAUAAUAGAAUAACCGAAAAAAUAAUAUGGUAUAAAUUUUAUAAAAUAACCAGGCCGAACCAAUCCAUUGAUACCCCUGUUAACAGCCAUGCACACUCAGGUCUACAAGCGGGAGAACGACAUAAUAUUUUGGCCAAUGUCCGAAUAAAACUUGGACCUGAUUUUUGAGCAGCAUUCCUACUUCCCACGGUUUUGUUGGGUUUCACAAAACAAAUAUAUCAUUAAAGAUUCUGGCCAAGUCAAGACAUGAAAGAUUUUGGAGAGGCGAUUACUAAUGGUGCUAUGCAAUCUCACUUGGGCCCGAGGUGUAUCGGUCGAAAUCUGACCAAACAAGAAUCUUUGUAAAGAGGGACGGCUAGUCACUUAGGCAGAGUCGUAUUCUUACAACGCUAUAGCAACAAGUACAUCAGCCGUACUCAGAAGGCUUGUACGAUGAAUUGGAUAACACGACAUUUCGGAGGGUCAGUCUGUAAUUCAGUUAAAUAACUUUGACACUCUGGCUAAUGACCAUUGUAUAAAUGAGAAUACUCAGUAUAUAUACUAGGUAAGAGAACAAAGAAAAAGAGAGGGGGAAGAGAAAAACUCAUAGACACAUAUAGACUUUUCCAGAAAGGAAAAAGGAUCUUCAACUCUUUCUCCUCGAGAAGGGGGAAGGGGAAAGGAAGUGCAGAUCCUCAGUAUGCAUCAUUAAUUUCAUUUUGUCAAAUGUAUGGGGGUCAACCUUGUUCAAGAACGAUGACCCUUUUUAUCUAUGUGUUCUUCAUUAUCAUUUAGUGUUAAGAAAAUCACCACCCUUUUCUCACAUUAUAGGAUUCAAUUAUUGCUAUGGUUAAAUUUCAUGUUCAGCUAUGCUUGUUCAUUCAUAUCUUCUGCUCCAAAUCUAGGAUAAAUUAUCUUUGGCUAGGAUUUAUCUCAAAUCUUCCUAUUUAAUUAGUUCACGAAAAGAUUUAGCACUUUUUGGUCGAAUAAUUUGGCGCUGUCUGUGGGG
Molecule: long non-coding RNA, 3583 nt
Filed under: Nicotiana tabacum (common tobacco)
Lineage: Eukaryota; Viridiplantae; Streptophyta; Magnoliopsida; Solanales; Solanaceae
Description: long non-coding RNA (NTAB_LNC017674)
Source: RNAcentral